RNAcentral lists this long non-coding RNA (3480 nucleotides) under Sus scrofa (pig). Its description in RNAcentral is "lncRNA (ENSSSCG00070006055.1)". The record is from RNAcentral. Lineage: Eukaryota; Metazoa; Chordata; Mammalia; Artiodactyla; Suidae.
GGCAGAGGGUGGGAGGAGACGGGCUGGCCGAGGGGCAGAGAAAAGGCAGGAAGGAAGCUGAUAUAAAAAAAAAAAAAUCUAUCUUGAGAAACAAUUCCUCUCCAUCUUUAAAUCCUAUGAAACUCAAAAAAUAAAAUCUGCUCUUGAAAUCUAAUGAUUAGACAGGCAUAGAAUACCAGUUAUAGACAUUCUGGCUAAAAGGGGAGAAAAUUUAAAGGAAAAAAGAAGUCACUAGUUCAAAAUAUUUUCAAAAUUCAGCUGUUUAAACUUCCUUUGUAUUACAUAAAAUUAAUUAUUAUUAUAUAAAUAUUAUUUUAUUUAAUGAUGGGAUUAUAGUAUUUCUUUGUGUGUGUAAUAAAACUUGAAACAACCUUACAAUAAAUUUAAUUGCUUAAUCCUUACCUUCCUCCGAGUUAACCUGACAAGUAAACUUUGAUUGUUUUUUUCUAUAAGUAUUUUAGACAUUAAGUUGCCACAUAUUACAUGUUUAUUUUGGUUUAGCUGUGUGUUCCUGGGAUCAAUCUAGCACCAGCUUUCUUUACUGAUAUCUGACUAAAUAUUCUCAGAAUUGGAUACCUUUUUUUUUUUUUUUUUUUUUUUUUUUGUCUUUUUAGGCCACAGGCUGGGGUCGAAUCGGAGCUGUUGCUGCUGGCCUACGCUAGAGCCACAGCAAGGCCAGAUCUAGCCAUGUCACGGCAACACCUGAUCCUUAAACCUACUGAGCAUGGCCAGGGAUUGAACCCUCAAUCUCAUGGUUCUAGUUGGAUUCGUUUCCUCUGUGCCACGACAGGAACUCCAGAAUUGGAUACCUUUAAUAUCUUCAUGGAAACUUCAUUUUGGCCUUUUGUCAAGGUCCUUAGGCAUUUGUCUACCUUGAGAGUUCCAGAAGCAACAACAUUGACAUUAACCCAUAUGGGGACCUUAGUUGAGGAGGAGGUGGCAGUACAGCAGUGGGAAGAGGACAGAUCUGUUAAUUUUUGCAUCUAUAGUUCUAUUUUUGGUAGUUUACUUAGAAAGUCACCUCCUAUCUGACUUUAUAAUGUCUUGUCCUAUUGUUUUAAUCACAGUACUAUUAAGACCUUAUUCUUAACUUUAUGUUUUUUUAAUUCAGUGAAUUUUAUGUUUAUAGUUGUAUAAUCACUAUCACAACCUAAUUUUAGAACAUUUCCAUCUGAAACUCCCAGUCCAUCUCUCCCCCUCAGUCUUUCCCCUUUAGUAAGCACAAGUUUUUCAAAGUCUGUGGAUCUGUUUCUUUUCUGCAAAUAGGUAUUUUUUUUUUUUUUUUGGUCUUUGCUAGGGCCGCACCCAUGGCAUGUGGAGGUUCCCAGGCUAGGGGUCUAAUUGGAGCUGUAGCCACCAGCCUAUGGCACAGCCACAGCGAUGAGGGAUCUGAGCCACAUCUGCAACCUACACCACAGCUCAUGGGAACGCCGGAUCCUUAACCCACUGAGUGAGGCCAGGGGCUGAAUCCUCAACUUCAUGGUUCCUAGUUGCAUUUGUUAACCACUGAGCCAUGACAGGAACUACUCAUUUUAGAUUCCACAUAUAAGUGUUUUAGCAUGUGAUGUUUGUCUCUCAUUGUCUGACUAACUUCACUUUAGCAUUAUAAUUUUUAGGCCCAUACAUGUUGCUAUAAAUGCCAUUAUUUCAUUCUUUUUUAUGGCUGAGUAAUAUGCCAUGGUAUAUAUGUAUCUCAUCUUCCUUAUCCACUCCUCUUUCGAUGGAAAUUUAGCUUUCUUCCAUUUCUUGGCUAUUGUGUACAGCACUACAAUGAACAUUGAGAUAUAUGUAUCUUUUUGAGUGAUGGUUUCCUCCAGAUAGAUGCCCAGGAGUGGGAUCAUAUGGUAGUUCUAUUUUUAGUUUUUUGAGGAACCCCCAUACUAUUUUCCAUAUUGGUUGUACCAUUUUACAUCCCUACAAACAGUGUAGGAGGGUUUCCUUUUCUCCACACCCUCUCCAGCAUUUUUUGUUUGUAGACUUUUUGAUGAUGGCCAUUCUGGCUGACCUCAUUGUAGUUUUGACUGAUAUUUCUAAAAUAAUUAGUGAUAUUGAGCACCAUUUCACGUUUUUUUUUUUUUUUUUUUUGGUGGGGGCAUCCCUAUACCUUCUUUGGAGAAAUGUCUGUUUAUAUCUGCCCAUUUUUUAAUUUUUUUUUUCAUAUUGAGAUGCAGGACAUGUUUUUAUAUUUUGGAGAUUAAUCCCUUGUGAGGCACUUCAUUUGCAAAUAUUUUCUCCCAUUCUGUGAGUUGUCUUUUUGUUGAGGGUUUCCUUUGCUGUGCAAAAACUUUUAAGUUUAUAUUUUAACUUUAUAUUUUAUUUCAUCAGGAAUUAAUUUUAUUAUAUACUGUCUACCAAUAUCAUUUAUUAAAAAUUCCAUUGGUUUGCUAACUGAUCUGAGAUACUUCCUAUAUCAUGCAUUUAAUACAUGUUCUUGGGCGUGUUUCUGAUUUUUAUAUGUUGUUAUACUGAUGCUUAUGUCAGUAUCAUACUGUUUUAAUUACUAUGUCUUUAGGAUAUAAGUUAAUAUUUUAUACAGCUACGCCCUCAAAUUAUCCUUCCGGUAAUGUUUUUGCAAUUCUCAUAUUUUUCUCCUGUUGUUCUCCAAAUUAACUUAUGUAUCAUUUUGCAAAAUUCUGAAGAAAAAUCCCUUUGGUGUUUUGGAUAGCUUAUACAAAUGUGUUGAUUAACUCUGGGAAAAAUGUAUCUCUUUAUGUUACUAGCUCCUUUAAUUCAGUACUGUAAUAAGAUGCUACACAUCAUAUUUGAGCCUUAAUUUACUAUCUUAUUAAAGCUUUUAAUUUUCUGUGUUUGUCAGUAUUGAAAUUAGUUAUCUUUCUCUCUGUAUGUCAUACUUUUCUUUGUUAUUUUGAAUAAUUUUUUUUCUUUCUGACAGAGUCUAAAUUUAAAUUGCUAUUGAGCUGUUAAUUCUUGAUUAUUUUUUGACUCUCUUUUACUCAUUAUAUAAUUGUUGUAAUAUUUCAGAUGAUUCAGGUGAUUAUUUUAGGCUUUCCAAGUAAAAAGUAUAUGAUAUAUAAGGGUAGUUCAGCAUUUGUCUCUUUGUUUUAAAUAACUGUAGCCAUAAAGCGUUCUUAUUUUAUGAAAAUUAAGUAGAAUAUUUGUGUUUAUUAAUAGAAGUGACUCCAGAGUUUCAUAAUUAAAAUUUUGUUUUUGGGGGGUUCUCAUUGCAGCUUAGCAGGUUAUAAACCCUAUUAGUAUCCAUGAGAAUGUGGGUUCAAUUCUUGGCCUUGCUUAGUGGGUUAAAGAUCCGGCAUUGCCUUGAGCUGUAGUGAAGGUCGCAGAUGCAGAUAGGAUCUGGUGUUGCUGUGGCUGUGGUAAAGGCUGACAGCUGGAGCCUGGAAUCAAUCCAUAGGCCAGGAACUUCCAUAUGCUGCAAGUGCAGCCCUCAAGAGCAAAAUACAUACACACAUACAUAAAUAUUAAAAAAAUAAAACUGUGUUUCUGUGUUAAGAUAGUUUUUUU